This 458-nucleotide ribosomal RNA is filed under the name uncultured bacterium. Its description in RNAcentral is "bacterial SSU rRNA". It matches the Rfam family "Bacterial small subunit ribosomal RNA", at positions 28 to 507 of the family's 1533-position model. The record is from RNAcentral.
GAUGAACGCUGGCGGCGUGCUUAAUACAUGCAAGUCGAACGGAGAUUGCAGCGAUGUAAUCUUAGUGGCGAACGGGUGAGUAACGCGUGGGUGACCUGUCCUUGUGAGGGGGAUAGCCGCUCGAAAGAGUGGGUAAUACCGCGUACGAUCUCUGGAGUGGGUGCCAGAGAUGAAAGCAGAGAUGCGCGCAGGGAGGGGCUCGCGGCCCAUCAGGUAGUUGGUGAGGUGAAGGCUCACCAAGCCUAUGACGGGUAGCUGGUCUGAGAGGAUGAUCAGCCAGACUGGGACUGAGAAACGGCCCAGACUCCUACGGGGGGCAGCAGCGGGGAAUAUUGCACAAUGGGCGAAAGCCUGAUGCAGCGACGCCGCGUGAGGGAAGAAGGUCUUCGGAUUGUAAACCUCUUUUGUCGGGGAAGAUGAUGACGGUACCCGGCGAAUAAGCCCCGGCUAACUACGUG